RNAcentral lists this unclassified non-coding RNA (286 nucleotides) under uncultured fungus. Its description in RNAcentral is "partial contains 5.8S ribosomal RNA, internal transcribed spacer 2, and large subunit ribosomal RNA". The stretch from base 1 to 52 matches the Rfam family "5.8S ribosomal RNA", at positions 103 to 154 of the family's 154-position model. Lineage: Eukaryota; Fungi. The record is from RNAcentral.
AACGCACAUUGCGCCCUUUGGUAUUCCGAAGGGCAUGCCUGUUCGAGCGUCAUUAUCACCCCUCGAGCCCCUGUGGCUUGGUGUUGGACGGUUGGGUUCGCUUGAACCCCCUCCUAAAGACAAUGACGGCGGCCUCGCGGAACCCCCGGUACACUGAGCUUCAUCACUGAGCACGUAUCGGAUCACGGGCGCCCGGGCCACGGUCUUUUUUUUCGCUUCUCCUUCACGGGGGGAGUGUUCUCCAAAGGUUGACCUCGGAUCAGGUAGGAAUACGCGCUGAACUUAA